Gallus gallus (chicken) is the source of this 2468-nucleotide long non-coding RNA. RefSeq lists it as uncharacterized. The transcript has 2 exons. NCBI's taxonomy places the organism in Eukaryota, Metazoa, Chordata, Aves, Galliformes, Phasianidae. The record is from RefSeq and is a predicted model, not a curated record.
GGGGUGUGGCCUUUCUGGGACGUGCGGCGUGUCUCGUUCUGCGCCUCUGCCUUCCUCGUGUGAGCCGUGCCCGCUUAGGCUGACUCGAGUGGGAGGAGGGCCAUGUUUGGGCUCAGAGGGGCAGCCUCGUUCUAGUGUAGCGCCUCUAUCUGGGUGAGGUACAGGAGGCGUUUUGUCUUGGCUUGUAGCUGUGCGUAGGCAUGAGGACCUAUAGGUGCAGGUUCCUAUUCCUCACAGGCAGUAGGUUGUGCAAGAGCCUUCCGCCUUGUCCUGGGCAAAUGGGCUGAAGUGACAAGGGAGGGUGUGCCGUCAGUACAGAGCUGAAUGAAAAGUACAGCAGUGUGAAAAUAUCUUUUCUUAUUGAGAAUGUCCUCCUCAGACCAUUAUUAGCCAACAAAAACAACGCAUUCGAACUGCUAGGAAGCUUGUGCUGUUCCAUAAACAUCUACAUCUUUAUCUACCAACAGUUGUAGCUGAUGACAUGUUCAGAAGUUAAAAUGUAAAGAGGAAUUAAUGUGAGCCUCUUAACGUACGUUGCUUAGUGUGUUAAAAAACUCAAGUGUCAGUGGAUCCUGCAGAGGUGCCAUGGCCCCAUAGCUGAGCUCUGACACCUCACAAAACAGGCAUUACGAAUGGGAGUGAUUAUUCAGUUACGGAAUGCCAGCAGAAGAUAAAGAAUAAUAGAAACUGUUUGCUUUGAAAAGUAAUUUGCUGGUGUGCUUACUCCUCACUUAUCAGCUGAGAUUUAUGAACUGCCAGGAAGCCCCUUAGAUUACUGCUUGUAAUUCGCUGCUUUUAGUGGUAUGGGUAUUCCAAUUUUGUUUAAUUUUCAAGCACUUUGAGAACUGCCUGAUAAAAUUUGCACAUAUAUCAGAUUUGAUGCAUACACCAUGAAGUCCUUUUGUGUUGCAAAAGUCUAGAAGGUUCCCACCAGUGAAAGGGGCACUUGCAGUGUGCGCUUCCAUGUGAACCCAAAGGUAUACAUACAUACAGCAGCUCAACCUGAAUGGCGGUCAAUUCAUUUAUCGGCUACAAAAUAAAUUAUUGCAAUAGCCUUGGCUCAUUGGGCCUUCUCCUGGUUCUAGGCAGAGGUAGAAAAUGGUUUCCUGAGAGCGUCCCUUCUUUUGUUUAAAAUAUUAGAUUUGGAUCAAAUUGACCCCCAGCCUUUUCAUUCACUAAUUAACUUUGGAACAACCAUUAAACCUCAUUAACCGGGACACUGAUUCUUCUGUUUGUUGUACCUGCCAUGAUGAAGAUGAACCCUCUGUGUUUUGCCUGGAGCUCGGUUAAUUUAGUUUACUAUCAUUUCAAAUUGCCUAAAACAAAAAGGCAAAUAUUUCUGGAAAACUGAAAUUAACAUUUCAAAAGCAAGAACCUCCAAAUAGUCCUGGGGAAUUGACCACAUCCAUGUAACUCUCCAUGCUGAGCUGAGUUUAAGUGUAUCAAAUACCACACUACAGAAUAUCUUCACACUGCUGCAGAAUCUUUUUGGAAGACAUCCAGCUUUCUCCUCGGCUUUCUGCUGGUGCUGCACACUGCCCUCCCCUCACAUCCGUUCCUUUGGCCAUCAACACUCCUCUGGUCCUCAGAAGGUCGCAGGUGCAGUUCCAAGGGUUUCCAUCUAAAUAGAGAUGCCGGAGACGAGGUAAAUACUCUAAAACUUUGCGAUCCAAGGCGGAUAUCUUGUUGUUCCUUAAAUUUAAAACCUGAAGCUGUUUCAAGUCCUUUAGUUCUUGUUCUCCAACAUCUUCUAUGUCAUUUCCCUUUAGAUCCAAUCUAGCAAGGGUAUCCGGAAGUCUGAAUAAAAAUAAAACAACACAAAUCUGUUAUAUUCAUUAUACUGAUUCUCUUUGUGCCCAGGCAUAUCUAGCAUAUUAAAUAAAACUAUCACUGACAAAAAGGUAGUCUUCUGGAGGGAAAAAUUCUGGUCCUGAAAUGUUCCUAUCCUUUAUUUAUUUAUUUAAUUUGAAGUUGUUGGAAUACCGUCUAUGCACGUUUGAAUGGUUUUCCCAAAUUAUUGCAGUUCUGACCUAUACUAACCUGCUUUACUCUGUAGUAAAUUGCAUAUUCAGUUGAGUGCCAAGAACACUUAAAAAUGUUUUUUGUACUAUUUAAUGCCAUAAACAUGCCAAUGAUCAAACAAUAGCAACAUGAAAGGCCAGGAGUUUUGAAAAGCAUGGCAACUCUACUCCCUCAAGUACUUCUGUGUAUGGUUUGUUUUUAAAAGUUUUUUAGUUCAUAACUAAGUAGAGUUUUUCUUCUUUUUUUUUCCCCUAUUUUUUGUUCUCUUGCUGCCAGCAGAUUCAAAACUUAAUUAAUUUGAAAGUACUCCAUCUGAUAAUAAACUUCAUACUUAAAAGCCCAGCGACAAGGAGAAUAUAAAUGCUUUUUAUGGUCUUUUGAAAUAGUACUUUUGAGAAUUAUAACUGAUUGUAUUUAAAAGAAUAAAAAAAGCCAAUAUCUUGAGA